GAUGAAGAACGUAGCGAAAUGCGAUAAGUAGUGUGAAUUGCAGAAUUACCUGAAUCAUCGAAUCUUUGAACGCACAUUGCACCUCUCGGUAUUCCGGGAGGUAUGCCUGUUCGAGCGUCAUUUGUACCCUCAAGCUCUGCUUGGUGUUGGGUGUUUGUUCCGCCUCUGUGUGUGAACUCGCCUCAAAACAAUUGGCAGCCGGCGUACUUGUUUCGGAGCGCAGCACAUUUUGCGAUCCAGAUCAACGUACAGCGGCAUCCAAGAAGCCUUAUUUAACGCUCUUGACCUCGGAUCAGGUAGGGAUACCCGCUGAACUUAAGCAUAUCAAUAAGCGGAGGA
This 339-nucleotide unclassified non-coding RNA is filed under the name soil metagenome. Its description in RNAcentral is "partial contains 5.8S ribosomal RNA, internal transcribed spacer 2, and large subunit ribosomal RNA". The stretch from base 1 to 120 matches the Rfam family "5.8S ribosomal RNA", at positions 35 to 154 of the family's 154-position model. The record is from RNAcentral.